Molecule: long non-coding RNA, 237 nt
Filed under: Olea europaea (common olive)
Lineage: Eukaryota; Viridiplantae; Streptophyta; Magnoliopsida; Lamiales; Oleaceae
Description: long non-coding RNA (OEUR_LNC009202)
Source: RNAcentral
AAUAAUACACUCUAACAUGAAUACACCUUAAUAGAGUAUAGAGCCCCCCGGGACAUAUUCCAAUGAUGCAAAGGAUUAUGAUGAAGUAUACUUAAUCUUGCUAGCAGUCGCAGUGCGAGAGUUUAAUUCCUGAAACAUGGAUUGAAACUCUUUGUAGGCACCAGUGUACAGAUAUCUCUUGUUUUCUAAUCUGUUGGGACACAUCCCGCGAUUAACUUCUCUUACGAUGCUCCAGGG